AAAUCGCGAUAUGUAGUGUGAUCUGCCUAUAGUGAAUCAUCAAAUCUUUGAACGCAUCUUGCACCCCUGGGUAUUCCUGGGGGUACGCCUGUUUCAGUAUCAUUAUAACUUCUCUCCCUAAAAUUUAUUUUUUGGGCCGAGGAAAUAUUACCAUUGGCCCUGGUACCUUUUUAAGGUAGUCUCGGCUGGAAUUGCGAUUUUGGGCAUGAUUCUUUAUUUUUACCCACUCUUUGGUAGAUUUUUUACUAAGGAUGCUAAUAAUAAUAGAAGCUCCCCAUCACUUCAUAACCAUCUCAAACCUUGAUCUGAAAUCAGGCGGGAUUACCCGCUGAACUUAA
RNAcentral lists this unclassified non-coding RNA (338 nucleotides) under uncultured fungus. RNAcentral describes it as "sequence contains ITS1". The stretch from base 1 to 102 matches the Rfam family "5.8S ribosomal RNA", at positions 50 to 154 of the family's 154-position model. Lineage: Eukaryota; Fungi. The record is from RNAcentral.